This 1479-nucleotide ribosomal RNA is filed under the name metagenome. RNAcentral's name for it is "bacterial LSU rRNA". It matches the Rfam family "Bacterial large subunit ribosomal RNA", at positions 1366 to 2925 of the family's 2925-position model. The record is from RNAcentral.
UCGUCCGCUCCAGGUUAGUCGGGAGCUAAGGUGAGGCCUAACGGCGUAGCCGAUGCACAGACGGUAGAGAUUCCGUCACCACCAAAAGAGUUAAACACAGGGACACAUUUGAAGUCUCGGAGCCGGGUGUUGGUUCCGGUAGCGAUCGAGGGAAAUUAGUACCGAAGUUCGGGAUGGAAGAUGGCGAGAAGAGCUGUGUGUAUUUCUGCGGUGCCCGUACCGCAAACCGGCACAGGUAGGUAGGAAGAAGAUUCUAAGGCCAACGGGAGAAGGGUUGUUAAGGAACUCGGCAAAUUGACCCCGUAACUUCGGGAGAAGGGGUGCUCUAGAGAUAGAGCCGCAGAGAAUCGGCCCAAGCAACUGUUUACCAAAAACACAGGUUUGUGCUAAAUCGAAAGAUGACAUAUACGAGCUGACGCCUGCCCGGUGCUGGAAGGUUAAGAGGAGAUGUGCAAGCAUUGAAUCGAAGCCCCAGUGAACGGCGGCCGUAACAAUAACGGUCCUAAGGUAGCGAAAUUCCUUGUCAGGUAAGUUCUGACCCGCAUGAAAGGCGUAAUGAUUUGGGCACUGUCUCGACAGCCCGCCCGGCGAAAUUGUAGUACCGGUGAAGAUGCCGGUUACCCGCGACAAGACGGAAAGACCCCAUGGAGCUUUACUGUAGCCUAAUAUUGGGUUUCGAUGUUGCAUGCACAGGAUAGAUGGGACACAGGGAAACAAGUGCUUUGGCAUUUGUGGAGUGGCCGUUGGGAUACCAUCCUUGCGAUAUUGGAAUUCUAACCUGCGCCUUUGAAUCAAGGCGGGGGACAUUGUUAGGUGGGCAGUUUGACUGGGGCGGUCGCCUCCUAAAGAGUAACGGAGGCGUUCAAAGGUUCGCUCAGCUUGAACGGAAAUCAAGCAAAAGAGUGCAAACGCAGAAGCGAGCCUAACUGCGAGACUGACGGGUCGAGCAGUAACGAAAGUUGGAGUUAGUGAUCCGGUGGUAUGUGAGUGGAAAUGCCAUCGCUCAACGGAUAAAAGUUACCCUGGGGAUAACAGGCUGAUCUCCCCCAAGAGUCCACAUCGACGGGGAGGUUUGGCACCUCGAUGUCGGCUCAUCGCAUCCUGGGGCUGUAUUCGGUCCCAAGGGUUUGGCUGUUCGCCAAUUAAAGCGGUACGCGAGCUGGGUUCAGAACGUCGAGAGACAGUUCGGUCCCUAUCUGUCGUGGGCGCAGGAUAUUUGAUGGGAGCUGUUCCUAGUACGAGAGGACCGGAGCGGACGUACCUCUGGCGCACCAGUUGUUCUGCCAAGGGCAUAGCUGGGCAACUAUGUACGGAUCGGAUAAGCGCUGAAAGCAUCUAAGCGUGAAGCCGACCCAAAGAUAAGAUAUCCCAUUGUUUCAAACAAGUAAGACCCCUUGAAGACUACAAGGUUGAUAGGCACGAUGUGUAAGUGGAGUGAUUCAUUCAGCAAGCGUGUACUAAUAGGUCGAGGGCUUGAUC